UUUUAUUUUACUUAUUUUAGGUCUGUGAAGCCAAACUUGAUGCUGGGGAUUUAUUUUUGUCAGUGGAGUCAAAUGGUCUAGAUGAUCACAUCUGUCUUUGUCAUUUAAAUGAGGUGGACUUGCAAACUUUGCGCUCUUUGGGGUAAAUUGCUGUCCACUACAUAUACACAGAAUCUGCACAGUAUUUCAGAUCUAAAAAGGGAGUAUGUAAUGGACUUGCUGGCUUUAAUGUAAAAAGCCUGUUGUGUAACUUUAAUGAGGCAGUUGGACUAAAACAGUAUUGCUCAUCAAGGUAAACAUCUGAGGAAUAAGGAAAUUGUUACUUGUCCUUUUACUCAGUGUUCUUUUAAUCACACGUUUACUAAAGUUUUACAUCACAUAAGUCAUUUUCACAAUCAUUCUACUUUAAAAGAUUUCAAGACAGAGCUUAUUGUUCUCUGAACUUCCUUGUUUGCUGAACGGCAGGUAAAGUGCAUCUUUUUGUUUGUUUGCUUUUGUGUGUUUGUGUUUUCUCUAAUGGGCCUCAGAUGACUGUUUGCUUAAAUUUGGGUCUCAAAGAAUCUUUUUUUAAUUCUGCCUGUACUCUCCACCCCUCUUCUUCUAUUGCUCAGGUUGAAGCAGAAUUUGCCCGUCUUACAUCUGUUGACCUGAAAGGGUUCCUUUUGCUGUGCUUGACCAUUAUGGAGAGGUUCGUGGAGCUGUACAAAAUCAAGAGCGGCAUAGAAAGGCUAACUAGGCUCAUAAGAUGCUUCGGAGAUGAUAGCCCUACACAAAGGAAGAGGACAGAGGACCUCAUUUUCUAAAGGAAGAUCCCUCCCACACUUUCAAGACUGUGAAGCCGACAGGUAUUGAAGACACGUUUUCUAAGAGGAUGAAAGUUGGCAUUGCGAUGGUGAAAGAAGAAGACAUCGAUGUGUUGGUUGUCCUUGAGGCGGCAGUAAUCCUGUCUAAUCUGAGGGAUGUCUCAAGUGCCAUUUCCAUGCUGAUGGGCCUUCUUUUUGCCCUCAACGUAGACUAUCCAAAGGAACUUAAGGACAUCUUUGAAGUCAUUCAGAACAUCCUAAUGAACAUUGGUGGAAGGCAGUGCAUCUCACUAGUGCAUGGUCUAAGAAACAGACUCUUGCAGAAAGCCAUGCAGAACUGUAAUUGUAUGAUCCUUAGUGUUA
Oreochromis aureus is the source of this 1166-nucleotide long non-coding RNA. The record is from Ensembl. Lineage: Eukaryota; Metazoa; Chordata; Actinopteri; Cichliformes; Cichlidae.